CACCCACGUGCCAAUGUAAUUGUUGGUGUCCCGGCUGUAGGCUCGACCAGCCGCGACCGGGAAGAGAAAACCGCUCACUCGCGGCGGGGAGUUGAAACCGCGCUCUGCGGAGCGUCCCCCCGUGGCCGGGCAGGACCUCGGACAGCGCCCGUGACACCAAUCCUUAGUCGCCUUGGGGCUUUCCAGCCUUGCUGGUAAAGCUGGGGCUGCUUCCUGUGCUUGCAGCUUCCAAAAUUUCGUCACCACACCCCUUCUGAAACUGGGACUCAUCGCGCCUGUUGUGUGGCUUUCUUUUUCUUCCGAAAGGUUCGGGUCUUAUCGCUCAAGUUCAAGUCCGGAGGACUUGCCCAGUCUCCUCCCCUUAAGUCAUUCUCUAUCCUCUGGCAACCGCGGAAAUCCGGGAGUCCUAGGCUGCUGGUGUCAGUGCCAACACAGGCAGUCCGGGUCGGUCGGGUGCAGCAACCGGGCGCAUUCGUCUCUCUCCCUCCCUUUCUUCCUUCCUCCGUCGUCUUCUCUACCUACCCCUCCUUCUCUUGCCUCUUAAGUUUCCUGCACCGGGAAUUCAACUGUGCCAAGCCUAGGCUCCCGCGGACCAAUCCGGAUCGCGACCCGGGCACUGGGACAACGACUCCGCCAAGGCUGGACGAGGCAGCUGGACCUGUCCUCGCCCGAGCAUGGAGACGGAGCUCCGGGGAGGGCACGUCCCGGGCGCUGGAGACUCCAGGCCGUAGUAGCUCCUCCAUGGAGCCUGUUCAGAGCGGUUCUUGCUCGCUGCAUUUGCCUCCAGUCCUGUGCGGCUGCUGAGAGCGCUCCCUGCUCUGUAAAGUGGAUGUCAGGUGGAUCUAUGUUUUUGAAGGAACAAAGACUCAGCCAAGGCACCGCCAAGGAAGUUUGAGAGGAGGGAGGAUGCAGGCUGCGUGCUGGUACGUUCUUCUCCUCCUGCAGCCCACCGUCUACUUGGUAAGUCGCGAUCGGUCCGGUCCGGCAUCUUUGAGAUACCUCCCUAGCCUGGAGGCCAAGCAACUGGGGUGAGAGGAGGGGGGGGGGGUGCGGGAGGGCGAGGCCGCCAGUUCAGUGAGAGCUGAGUGUUCCCAGAGAGUGGAAGAACUUUGGGAAGCUUUGGUUUGGAUUCCUGCGAGAGUUUUUCAGGCUCUCAUCCUCAUUUUUUUGCUCUAUUUUCCGUCUCCCGGAUCAUGAUUCUUAACAGCGACUAGUGUACAGGACCUUACAGGUCCAGAAACCAGGAGGUAGUAGGCGAGGAUGCCUUGGGAGGAAGGGGAGAAGAAAGGUAUUGGGAAUCAUGAAACUCUUAGCAGCACUUCUUCCCCCACCUAGUUUAAAUGAAAGGGGGUGGAGGUGGGCUUGAAGAGCUGAACAGGAAUCUACUCACUGCCCCACUGCCCCAGCGCCCCCAGUUUGGGUUUAUGGCACAUGAAGAAAGUGCAGGUAACUUCCUGAGACUUACAGGGGUGCAGCUGGUGUAAGUUUAUCCGCCAGACACAAAGCAAACGACCAGGCAGUUAGGUCAGAGAUACACCUGCAAACAUAACCCUCUCUCGCCUUCCAAGGUCCAGUUGCCAUUAAAUAACAGAAGCAUAGUUUCAGUGAGGGGUUUCUUUUUAGGGAAUGGCAAGCCUUGCCACUAGGGAGAGAAUCUUGUCCUGUCCAGGUUCCUCCAGAAUCAGUUUUCGGAGGUUUGGACUUGACACAAUCUUAGAACCGACGCGGGGAGAAUCGCUCUGUGUGGCUAGGGAG
This is a long non-coding RNA of Mus spicilegus (steppe mouse), 1755 nucleotides long. Lineage: Eukaryota; Metazoa; Chordata; Mammalia; Rodentia; Muridae. The record is from Ensembl.